RNAcentral lists this ribosomal RNA (372 nucleotides) under uncultured organism. RNAcentral describes it as "bacterial SSU rRNA". It matches the Rfam family "Bacterial small subunit ribosomal RNA", at positions 526 to 896 of the family's 1533-position model. The record is from RNAcentral.
CAGAGGUCUCAACCGUUGUUCGGAUUUAUUGGGCGUAAAGGGUGCGUAGGCGGCGGGGCAAGUCAGGUGUGAAAUCUCGGGGCUCAACCCCGAAACUGCACUUGAUACUGCCUUGCUCGAGUACUGGAGAGGAGACUGGAAUUUACGGUGUAGCAGUGAAAUGCGUAGAUAUCGUAAGGAAGACCAGUGGCGAAGGCGAGUCUCUGGACAGUUACUGACGCUGAGGCACGAAGGCCAGGGGAGCAAACGGGAUUAGAUACCCCGGUAGUCCUGGCAGUAAACGGUGCACGUUUGGUGUGGGAGGAUUCGACCCCUUCCGUGCCGGAGCUAACGCGUUAAACGUGCCGCCUGGGAAGUACGGUCGCAAGAUUA